AGCAGUAGCCGCGGUAAAACGUAGGGGGCAAGCGUUAUCCGGAAUUACUGGGUGUAAAGGGAGCGUAGACGGUUAAACAAGUCUGAAGUGAAAUGCCGGGGCUCAACCCCGGAGCUGCUUUGGGAACUGUAGAACUGGAGUGUCGGAGGGGUAAGCGGAAUUCCCAGUGUAGCGGUGAAAUGCGUAGAUAUUGGGGGGAACACCGGCGGCGAAGGCGGCUUACUGGACGACAACUGACGUUGAGGCUCGAAGGCGUGGGUAGCAAACAGGAUUAGAUACCCCCGUAGUCCCUGUCUCUUAUAC
This 303-nucleotide ribosomal RNA is filed under the name uncultured bacterium. Its description in RNAcentral is "partial 16S ribosomal RNA". It matches the Rfam family "Bacterial small subunit ribosomal RNA", at positions 507 to 807 of the family's 1533-position model. The record is from RNAcentral.